RNAcentral lists this ribosomal RNA (406 nucleotides) under uncultured bacterium. RNAcentral's name for it is "partial 16S ribosomal RNA". It matches the Rfam family "Bacterial small subunit ribosomal RNA", at positions 30 to 526 of the family's 1533-position model. The record is from RNAcentral.
AUUGAACGCUGGCGGCAUGCUUUACACAUGCAAGUCGAACGAGUGGCGUACGGGUGAGUAAUGUCUCGGAACGUGCCUCCUGCUGGGGGAUAACUGCCCGACACGUUAGCUACUACCGCAUACCAUCCGAUCUGCCGAUGUCUGAUUAGCUUGUUGGCGGGGUAAAGGCUCACCAAGGCGACGAUCACUAGCGGGUCUGAGAGGAUGACCAGCCAAACUGGGAGUGAGACACGGACCAGACUCCUACGGGAGGAAGCAGUGGGGAAUAUUGGACAAUGGGCGCAAGCCUGAGCCAGCCAUGCCGCGUGUGUGAAGAAGGCCUUCGGGUUGUAAAGGACGUUUGUCAGGGAAGCGGUACCUGAAGAAUAAGCAACGGCUAACUCCGUGCCAGCAGCCGCGGUAAUAC